RNAcentral lists this ribosomal RNA (504 nucleotides) under uncultured bacterium. RNAcentral's name for it is "partial 16S ribosomal RNA". It matches the Rfam family "Bacterial small subunit ribosomal RNA", at positions 28 to 523 of the family's 1533-position model. The record is from RNAcentral.
GUUGAACGCUGGCGGCAUGCCUUACACAAGCAAGUCGAACGGCAGCAUGGAGAGCUUGCUCUCUGAUGGCGAGUGGCGAACGGGUGAGUAAUGCAUCGGAACGUACCGUGUAAUGGGGGAUAACGUAGCGAAAGUUACGCUAAUACCGCAUACGACCUGAGGGUGAAAGCAGGGGAUCGCAAGACCUUGCGUUAUACGAGCGGCCGAUGUCAGAUUAGCUAGUUGGGGAGGGAAAGGCUCACCAAGGCGACGGUCUGUAGCGGGUCUGAGAGGAUGAUCAGCCACGCUGGGCCUGAGACACGGCCCAGACUCCUACGGGGGGCAGCAGUGGGGAAUUUUGGACAAUGGGGGCAACCCUGAUCCAGCCAUGCCGCGUGAGUGAAGAAGGCCUUCGGGUUGUAAAGCUCUUUCGGCCGGGAAGAAAUCGCACAGGCUAAUACUCUGUGUGGAUGACGGUACCGGCAUAAGAAGCACCGGCUAACUACGUGCCAGCCGCCGCCGUAA